Molecule: transfer RNA, 72 nt
Filed under: Anaerolineales bacterium
Lineage: Bacteria; Bacillati; Chloroflexota; Anaerolineae; Anaerolineales
Description: tRNA-Lys
Rfam family: tRNA
About the family: Transfer RNA (tRNA) molecules are approximately 80 nucleotides in length. Their secondary structure includes four short double-helical elements and three loops (D, anti-codon, and T loops).
Source: RNAcentral
GGGCUCGUAGCUCAAUGGCAGAGCAGUGGCCUUUUAAGCCAUUUGUUGAGGGUUCGACCCCCUCCGAGCUCA